Sus scrofa (pig) is the source of this 620-nucleotide non-coding RNA. NCBI's taxonomy places the organism in Eukaryota, Metazoa, Chordata, Mammalia, Artiodactyla, Suidae. The record is from RefSeq and is a predicted model, not a curated record.
UGCGGGUUGUGCAUGGAAGGUGGUGAAACGGGGAUGUUUUGGUGAAUAGCUGCUCUUAUCCCUGUGCUUUUUCUCUCAAGAGGAAAGUGGAAGAGGGGAAUCCAACCAGCACAUUGCCUAAGGCAUCAAUAGCCAGCGCGAGGAGGAAAAGCUGACAGUUGCUGUUAAAGCAGAUGUCCACAAGAUGGCGCCAGAGUACCUUUUGGACCCAGGUGCUGCUGCAAGGCUGCAGGUGCACUCUCAGAGGCAGCUGCUAGGAAGACAUGACCGAAAUCCACGUCGGGGAUAUUCAGGCCGGUCGAAUGAUUGAUAGCAAGGAAGCUCUCGCCGAGAUCCCUUCUGGCACCCUGGGUCCAAGAGAUGUCUUUGUCAUUGCGGUGGGUGUGGAAAACACUGCUGCUUCCAAAACCUUCAUGGGCAGACCACUCCCGCUCGCUUCAAGAACCAGAGGAAGGUGGAGCAGAUCUCGGUGCAGACGUGGAUUCACAGUGAGGUGAUCAGUAGCUGAGCUAAAAUUCACACAAGGUACAAAAUGCCUACUCCCUCAUUUUGGCCCUGGAUAUCUUGCACAAGAAUCUGUGGCUCAUCCUAACUGGAACCAGAGGGCAAGGAAUUCUGGG